Molecule: ribosomal RNA, 380 nt
Filed under: uncultured eukaryote
Lineage: Eukaryota
Description: partial 18S ribosomal RNA
Rfam family: Eukaryotic small subunit ribosomal RNA
Source: RNAcentral
CAAUAGCGUAUAUUUAAGUUGUUGCAGUUAAAAAGCUCGUAGUUGGAUUUCUGCCGAGGACGACCGGUCCGCCCUCCGGGUGAGUAUCUGGUUUGGCCUGGGCAUCUUCUUGGAGAACGUAGCUGCACUUGACUGUGUGGUGCGGUGUCCAGGACUUUUACUUUGAGGAAAUUAGAGUGUUUCAAGCAGGCACACGCCUUGAAUACAUUAGCAUGGAAUAAUAAGAUAGGACCUCGGUUCUAUUUUGUUGGUUUCUAGAGCUGAGGUAAUGAUUAAUAGGGAUAGUUGGGGGCAUUCGUAUUUAACUGUCAGAGGUGAAAUUCUUGGAUUUGUUAAAGACGGUCUACUGCGAAAGCAUUUGCCAAGGAUUUUUNCAUUGA